RNAcentral lists this ribosomal RNA (389 nucleotides) under uncultured eukaryote. Its description in RNAcentral is "partial 18S ribosomal RNA". It matches the Rfam family "Eukaryotic small subunit ribosomal RNA", at positions 592 to 976 of the family's 1831-position model. The record is from RNAcentral.
CAAGAGCGUAUAUUAAAGUUGUUGCAGUUAAAAAGCUCGUAGUUGGAUUUCUGGUACAAUGCGCCUGGCCCGCGACGGUUACGUCUGUGAGUGCCGGCUGCGCGUUUGCCAUCCUUCUAGAAAACGUUUCUACCCUUAACUGGGCCGGACUCGCGAUCUAGAUCUUUUACUUUGAAAAAAUUAGAGUGUUUAAAGCAGGCUUUUGCUAUGAAUACAUUAGCAUGGAAUAAUAAUCUAGGACUCCGGUUCUAUUUUGUUGGUUUCUAAAACUGAAGUAAUGAUUGAUAGGGACAGUUGGGGGUGCUAGUAUUGGCCGGCCAGAGGUGAAAUUCUUGGAUUCGGUCAAGACUAACUUAUGCGAAAGCAUUCACCAAGGAUGUCUUCUUUAA